CAUAAAUAUUAUGUAAAUACCUAUAUACUGCAAAAUCCCAUGAUAUAGCGAAAACUCUGUGAUACAGAAUCAGAUAUAUAUUUUUUUAAGAAACCCAAGAUAUAGUGAAGCUGCAAUAAGUGAACCAUGAUAUAGUGAGGGAUGACCCUAAUGUAUAGAUCAAGAA
Long non-coding RNA from Phyllostomus discolor (pale spear-nosed bat), 166 nucleotides. RefSeq lists it as uncharacterized. The record is from RefSeq and is a predicted model, not a curated record. The transcript is spliced from 3 exons. Lineage: Eukaryota; Metazoa; Chordata; Mammalia; Chiroptera; Phyllostomidae.